RNAcentral lists this ribosomal RNA (256 nucleotides) under uncultured bacterium. Its description in RNAcentral is "partial 16S ribosomal RNA". It matches the Rfam family "Bacterial small subunit ribosomal RNA", at positions 524 to 776 of the family's 1533-position model. The record is from RNAcentral.
UACGAAGGGGGCUAGCGUUGCUCGGAAUUACUGGGCGUAAAGCGCACGUAGGCGGCUUCUUAAGUCGGUGGUGAAAUCCUGGAGCCUCAACUCCAGAACUGCCUUCGAUACUGGGAAGCUCGAGUCCGGGAGAGGUGAGGUGGAACUGCGAGUGUAGUGGUGAAAUGCGUAGAGAUACGGGAGGAACACCCGUGGCGAAGGCGGCUCACUGGGCCGGUCCUGACGCUGAGACGCGAAGGCGUGGGGAGCGAACGGG